Molecule: long non-coding RNA, 566 nt
Filed under: Mytilus galloprovincialis (Mediterranean mussel)
Lineage: Eukaryota; Metazoa; Mollusca; Bivalvia; Mytilida; Mytilidae
Source: RNAcentral
GUUAAAAGUUUAAAAUUCAUAGCACCUUCAUAUGUCAUAGCACAUUGUUGAUAUAUGUUUAAAGUGUAUGUACAGAAAUAAAAUCAAGUACUGUCAUCACAAUUACAGGUCAGUUUUAGCUUGAUAUUUGAAGCCCAAUGAGUGAACAAAUUUUGCUCUUGUUAACUGUCCUGAUUGGUACUUAGCCCACAUUUCAAAUAAAUGAUCGAGUUUCUCCUUUUCAACGGUACAUCUCCUUGAAAGGUCUCCAAUUUUUAGGGUUUGUUCGAAACGAUAUAAAAAUCCAUCAAGACAUAUUCAUUUUUUUUCUUUACUAGUAACUAUAACUUUAAAAUCCAUGUUCACUGUGUAAAUGUGAACUAACUAAUGACAAAUAUAAGUUAAAUUUAUUUACGUAAUGAUUUACUUCUCAUUAAGAUUACAGGUAGUCGACUAUAGGUAAAAAGCGCAAAUGUCUGGUGAAUUUAGUACAGGUAAAUCAAAAUUAAAAGCGCAAAUGUCCAUAGUAUUUGAAGCGCAAAUGUCCUAUCGUUUUACAGGUAAAAAAGCGCAAACGUCCUGUGCCC